RNAcentral lists this unclassified non-coding RNA (276 nucleotides) under Hevea brasiliensis (rubber tree). The record is from RNAcentral. Lineage: Eukaryota; Viridiplantae; Streptophyta; Magnoliopsida; Malpighiales; Euphorbiaceae.
AUUUCCGCGAAUUGAGGAUACCUCCAUCAUAAGGACCAGCUGCGAAUUGGGAAACUUUGGGAGCAAAAUAGUAGCAGUGACAUUUGAAAUUCUGCUCAACGUGUAAGUUAAAAUUGGGGCAGAGACAGAACCCAUCAAGAAAGAAGAAAGUAACACAUCCAUGUGAUGUGACCACGUCACCAGUUUUUGGCAUUGCCAAGCAAACCGUUUCUCUUCUGUCAGCUAUCGGUCUCUCCCGUUUCACCAUCUGUCCACUCGCUCAAUUUUUUAACAAGC